AGCGAACGCUGGCGGCAGGCCUAACACAUGCAAGUCGAACGAACCUUUCGGGGUUAGUGGCGGACGGGUGAGUAACACGUGGGAACGUGCCCUUAGGUUCGGAAUAACUCAGGGAAACUUGUGCUAAUACCGAAUGUGCCCUUCGGGGGAAAGAUUUAUCGCCUUUAGAGCGGCCCGCGUCUGAUUAGCUAGUUGGUUGAGGUAAUGGCUCACCAAGGCGACGAUCAGUAGCUGGUCUGAGAGGAUGAUCAGCCACAUUGGGACUGAGACACGGCCCAGACUCCUACGGGAGGCAGCAGUGGGGAAUCUUGCACAAUGGGCGAAAGCCUGACGCAGCCAUGCCGCGUGAAUGAUGAAGGUCUUAGGGUUGUAAAAUUCUUUCACCGGGGACGAUAAUGACGGUACCCGGAGAAGAAGCCCCGGCUAACUUCGUG
This 434-nucleotide ribosomal RNA is filed under the name uncultured bacterium. Its description in RNAcentral is "partial 16S ribosomal RNA". It matches the Rfam family "Bacterial small subunit ribosomal RNA", at positions 29 to 507 of the family's 1533-position model. The record is from RNAcentral.